UCUCUUCACUUCAUUGCGAUUUGUUGCUUAUUUAAAACGACGGAUUGUUAAAGUAAUAAAAAAAACAAAAGUUUUAAACAAAAACAAAAAUAAUUAACUAACAUUAAAAAAAUACAAUAAAAUUACACUAAAAAAGAAUUAAAGAAAUGAAAACACAAAAAGUGUUCUAAAACUGUAUAAAACUAAAGAAAGCAACGGACACGGCGGAGUGAAAUGUAAAGUUUGUAAUACUGAACACCACAUUUUUUGCAAAUUAAUUUUCGAAUAUUGCUAAAAAAAAAUACGACACCAUCAACUAUAUACAUAUAUCUUUUA
Long non-coding RNA from Lucilia sericata (common green bottle fly), 315 nucleotides. RefSeq lists it as uncharacterized. The transcript has 2 exons. The record is from RefSeq and is a predicted model, not a curated record. NCBI's taxonomy places the organism in Eukaryota, Metazoa, Arthropoda, Insecta, Diptera, Calliphoridae.